Molecule: ribosomal RNA, 441 nt
Filed under: uncultured prokaryote
Description: bacterial SSU rRNA
Rfam family: Bacterial small subunit ribosomal RNA
Source: RNAcentral
CGGGGGGCAGCAGUCGAGGAUCUUCGGCAAUGGACGCAAGUCUGACCGAGCGAUGCCGCGUGGAUGAUGAAGGCCUUCGGGUUGUAAAAUCCUGUCGAGGGGGAGAAAAGCCGAAAGGUUUGAUCUAUCCCUGGAGGAAGGACGGGCUAAGUUCGUGCCAGCAGCCGCGGUAAGACGAACCGUCCGAACGUUGUUCGGAAUCACUGGGCUUAAAGGGCGCGUAGGCGGGCCACCAAGUCCGGGGUGAAAUCCUCCAGCUUAACUGGAGAACUGCCUCGGAUACUGGAGGUCUCGAGGAUGAUAGGGGCAUGCGGAACUGUAGGUGGAGCGGUGAAAUGCGUUGAUAUCUACAGGAACUCCGGUGGCGAAGGCGGCAUGCUGGAUCAUUUCUGACGCUGAGGCGCGAAAGCCAGGGGAGCGAACGGGAUUAGAUACCCGAGU